Stomoxys calcitrans (stable fly) is the source of this 735-nucleotide long non-coding RNA. RefSeq lists it as uncharacterized. The record is from RefSeq and is a predicted model, not a curated record. The transcript is spliced from 3 exons. NCBI's taxonomy places the organism in Eukaryota, Metazoa, Arthropoda, Insecta, Diptera, Muscidae.
AUUUAAUACCACAACCUAGUGACAUACAUAGAGAAGUAACGAAUCGUGGUUAGAAGAAGCACGUGGUGAAUUUCUCUCGGCUGUUACAGAGAUACUGCUGUAAAGGACGCAGGUUAUUAAUUCUGAAUUUUGAAGAUAUGUCUUUUACAGUGGAUUCAAUGACUUUCUCGUCUUUGUUAAAAAACAGAAUGUCAUCAACAUAAACAAUCUCGUUUAAAAUGACCUGUCUUACCGCAAUUGAAACAUUUCAACGUUGUCUUCGCCUUUGACUUUAGCGCUAGAUUCGACAAACCAGAUUCUUGAUGUGCCUCCUGUCUGCGCUUGAAUUCUUGAAUCAGCUUUUCUUUGACGAGCUCUAAUGUCAAAUCUGCAUCCGAACGGACUUCCAAAGCAGUAAUAAUUGAGUUAUACUCAUCCGGCAAGCUACCAAGCAAAAAUUCUACCUGAAGAUGAUUCGCCAAUGAUUCUCCAAAACCAUUUAAUCUAUCCACAGUAUCCAGCAAGGUGGAUCUAGGAAGGUGAUCUCAUGAGAACAGCUGAAAACAGCCGGUUAGCUUGACGGUACUAAAAUGUCAAAUCUAUAUUUACAUUCUCAGCAAGCAACCCCUUUUUCUCACUCUCUUUGUAUGUAUUUCCCUUUCUCUCAUUGUAUUGUUUACUUUUUUGCCUGUUUACUUUUUUAUGAUAGUUUCGGUGUCAUAAAUUACAAAAUAAAAUAAAGAAAUAAAAAAUUAA